Molecule: ribosomal RNA, 353 nt
Filed under: uncultured bacterium
Lineage: Bacteria
Description: bacterial SSU rRNA
Rfam family: Bacterial small subunit ribosomal RNA
Source: RNAcentral
GCUCAGGAUGAACGCUGGCGGCGUGCUUAACACAUGCAAGUCGAACGAAGCACUUUACCUGAUUUCCUUCGGGGAUGAUUGUUCUGUGACUGAGUGGCGGACGGGUGAGUAACGCGUGGAUAACCUGCCUCACACAGGGGGAUAACAGUUGGAAACGGCUGCUAAUACCGCAUAAGCGCACAGCACCGCAUGGUGCAGUGUGAAAACUCCGGUGGUGUGAGAUGGAUCCGCGUCUGAUUAGCUAGUUGGCGGGGUAACGGCCCACCAAGGCGACGAUCAGUAGCCGGCCUGAGAGGGCGACCGGCCACAUUGGGACUGAGACACGGCCCAGACUCCUACGGGAGGCAGCAGUA